UGAGAGGAUGAUCCGCCACACUGGGACUGAGACACGGCCCAGACUCCUACGGGAGGCAGCAGUGGGGAAUUUUGGACAAUGGGCGCAAGCCUGAUCCAGCCAUGCCGCGUGUCUGAAGAAGGCCUUCGGGUUGUAAAGGACUUUUGUCAGGGAGCAAAACUUACUGGUUAAUACCUGGUGAGGUUGAGAGUACCUGAAGAAUAAGCACCGGCUAACUACGUGCCAGCAGCCGCGGUAAUACGUAGGGUGCAAGCGUUAAUCGGAAUUACUGGGCGUAAAGCGUGCGCAGGCGGACUUUUAAGCCAGAUGUGAAAGCCCCGAGCUUAACUUGGGAAUUGCGUUUGGAACUGGGGAGUCUAGAGUCUGUCAGAGGGGGAUGGAAUUCCACGUGUAGCAGUGAAAUGCGUAGAGAUGUGGAGGAACACCGAUGGCGAAGGCAGUCCCCUGGGAUAAGACUGACGCUCAUGCACGAAAGCGUGGGGAG
RNAcentral lists this ribosomal RNA (484 nucleotides) under uncultured bacterium. RNAcentral's name for it is "bacterial SSU rRNA". It matches the Rfam family "Bacterial small subunit ribosomal RNA", at positions 293 to 768 of the family's 1533-position model. The record is from RNAcentral.